UGAAUUGAAGUAAAAUUGAUUAAUUCAAUUGACUUAAGUUUCUCCUCUUAAUCUAAUUAUUAAUUUGAAUAAUUUACUAAAUUGUUAAUUGCUUUAUCUCUCUUUCUCCCUGUUUGUUUAAUUAGUAGCCUGAGGUGAAGCAGGAUUAGGUUACUUGAUUUAUGUUUAUUUAUGUCAUUACAACAAAUUGUUUGUUAUCUUUUAUUACAAUCACUUGGAUAAUUAAUUGUAAUCAUGUUUUCUGGUUAUUUGAGUCUCACCUUUAUUUUUACUUUAAUUUAAGUACCUCAUCUUAAUUUGAUAAUUAUCAUGAGAAAAAUUAAUCUACUGAUGAUUUCGUUGAUAAGGUGAAACUGAAAUAUGGAGGAGGCGGAGGAGAUAAAUACCCGAGGAUAUCAACAGGAGAAGAAGAAGAAGAAGAAGAAGAAAAAUGAGAAAUCUAAAAGAAACAAAAAGGAGAUGAACAGAGAUUUGAAAAGGAGACACAAAAGAGAAAAGUGAUUUAUGAACUAACUAUAUAAAUGUGACGUUAAUUACAGUUGAUUACCGAAAGAAUACAAUUUAAAAGACUCACUGGAGAGAAGAAGACAAAAGGAUAGAGAAAUAUAAGUGAAAGAGAAAUUAACUAAACCAAGAUGGUGGAUAAUAACAAUCGUUUACCCUUCUCAUCAUUAAGUGAGGAAAAAAACAAAAGAGGAAAAAGGUUAUCAAAACAAAACAUAAUUAAUGAGUAAAAAUUUGAAAUGUUGAAUGGAAAUUUGUCAACAAAAUCAUCAUCAUCAUCAUGGUAAAUCAUUCAACUAAUCAACAUCCAACAAUUAAGGAGGAAACCAUUGGUACAAAAAGAGAGAUUGACAAAUUACUUUGGAAAAGUUAAUCCUUAUAAAUGAGAGCUUAAAGUGACCCCCCAAUGGAACCAAAUCAAAAUGGAAGGUGAUAAUUGUGAAGAUAAUUAUGAGCAAGGUGCAAAUGAAGAUGAACGACAAUUUAAAUUGAAAGAAAAUGGCGACAAACAAGUAGAAGGCAAAAAGCAAAUAGGACUUGAUGACUUAAGGAAGAGAGAGGAAAAAAAGAAGCAAUAAAAAGACGGAAAUAGAAAAUGAAUAGAUGAAGAAGCGACAACAACAAAUGGUGUUUACAUUCAAUUGUACAUAUUCAAUUGAUCACGCUAAUAUUACCUUUGGUUCCAUGUACAAGGAAUACUUGAGAGACACUCACACACACACACCAGAGAUUCACUUGGCUUGAUUUCAUGAUAAAUGUUCAUUUUAAUCAUUCAUUGAAACAAGAGACAACAUAACAACAUUAAUUUAACACUUACAAUUAUAAUCUAUUCCCAUUGCAAAAUACAAGAAACUAUUAACUUGUUUAAAUGUAAAUUGUAAAUACAUUUAAACACUUAUAGAGUCUCUUUUUUUUCAACUUUGCAAUUGGUUAAUUACGACAAUUUACAUUCAAUUAACUAAUCUAUCUAACGUAAUUAAUAUCAACUUAAUCAUUAAUUAUCAUUGACAGCAUA
Molecule: long non-coding RNA, 1519 nt
Organism: Panonychus citri (citrus red mite)
Lineage: Eukaryota; Metazoa; Arthropoda; Arachnida; Trombidiformes; Tetranychidae
Exons: 3
Source: RefSeq, a predicted model, not a curated record